RNAcentral lists this ribosomal RNA (387 nucleotides) under Corynebacterium striatum. Its description in RNAcentral is "bacterial SSU rRNA". It matches the Rfam family "Bacterial small subunit ribosomal RNA", at positions 1135 to 1521 of the family's 1533-position model. Lineage: Bacteria; Bacillati; Actinomycetota; Actinomycetes; Mycobacteriales; Corynebacteriaceae. The record is from RNAcentral.
GGACUCAUGAGAGACUGCCGGGGUCAACUCGGAGGAAGGUGGGGAUGACGUCAAAUCAUCAUGCCCCUUAUGUCCAGGGCUUCACACAUGCUACAAUGGUCGGUACAACGCGCAGCGACACUGUGAGGUGGAGCGAAUCGCUGAAAGCCGGCCUUAGUUCGGAUUGGGGUCUGCAACUCGACCCCAUGAAGUCGGAGUCGCUAGUAAUCGCAGAUCAGCAACGCUGCGGUGAAUACGUUCCCGGGCCUUGUACACACCGCCCGUCACGUCAUGAAAGUUGGUAACACCCGAAGCCAGUGGCUCAAACUCGUUAGGGAGCUGUCGAAGGUGGGAUCGGCGAUUGGGACGAAGUCGUAACAAGGUAGCCGUACCGGAAGGUGCGGCUGG